GAUGAAGAACGUAGCAAAUUGCGAUAAGUAUUGUGAAUUGCAUUAUUAGUGAAUCAUCGAAUCUUUGAACGCAUCUUGCGCUCUGGGGCUAUUCCCCAGAGCAUGACUGUUUGAGGGUUGUGUAUAUCAUCAUCCCCCUCCGAGUGGAAACACUAUGGAGUGAUUUUUGGGUAUGGAUAUUGGCUUGUUGUAGGAAUCUUUGAUUUCUACUAAGCUGAAAAACAUCAGUGGCUGAUUUCCAAUUUCUGGUAGCACAUAGUAAUGGCGUUAUAGUUUAUAUUCGCUGAUACUUUAUGUACAACCAUAAGAUUUUGGAGCUAUAAAGGCCUCUUCGAAGUAACACACACUUUUAACUCUUCAACCUCAAAUCAGUUAGGACUACCCGCUGAACUUAAGCAUAUCAAUAAGCGGAGGA
This 415-nucleotide unclassified non-coding RNA is filed under the name soil metagenome. Its description in RNAcentral is "partial contains internal transcribed spacer 2 and large subunit ribosomal RNA". The stretch from base 1 to 120 matches the Rfam family "5.8S ribosomal RNA", at positions 35 to 154 of the family's 154-position model. The record is from RNAcentral.